This is a ribosomal RNA of Oreochromis aureus, 119 nucleotides long. Lineage: Eukaryota; Metazoa; Chordata; Actinopteri; Cichliformes; Cichlidae. The record is from Ensembl.
GCUUACGGCCAUACCACCCUGAACACGCCCGAUCUCGUCUGAUAUCGGAAGCUAAGCAGGGUCGGGCCUGGUCAGUACUUGGAUGGGAGACCGCCUGGGAAUACCAGGUGCUGUAAGCU